GAAAUUAAUUUCAGAUGCUCAUGACUCGCCUACAGAAAAGCAAAACCUCUAGGGAGGUGACAGAAAAACUGGAUUAAGAGCCGCUCUGCUCGGAAAUGACUUUGGAAAGGAAGAAUCUCCAAAUCUCACUUCUAGAUGUGAGUCAUGGAAGUUGUAGUUCAUUUCAGGGUCUCAUACCCACUAAUCAUCAACCUAUCAGUUACCAACAGAGGGAAUGCCAUGUCACAGAGAAGCAGUUUAAACUACUAGAGCAAGAGUUUACUCGAGUAAUUUCAACUCAUUGCCCAAAGGUUGAAAUCCUCAAAGGAAAGUUAAAUACUGUCCUCUUGAAAGGGCCCAUCAAAGAGGUGCAGACAGGUGCUGCUAAAUUAAAUGCACUAAUGAAGGAAUUAAUAGAUAAGAGAGUUAAGCUCCCUCAGGAUGUAAUGACAUUCCUGAAAUCCGGUGGGGUUGUCUCAAAGUA
Cololabis saira (Pacific saury) is the source of this 463-nucleotide long non-coding RNA. RefSeq lists it as uncharacterized. The record is from RefSeq and is a predicted model, not a curated record. Lineage: Eukaryota; Metazoa; Chordata; Actinopteri; Beloniformes; Belonidae. The transcript has 3 exons.